This 506-nucleotide ribosomal RNA is filed under the name uncultured bacterium. Its description in RNAcentral is "bacterial SSU rRNA". It matches the Rfam family "Bacterial small subunit ribosomal RNA", at positions 19 to 518 of the family's 1533-position model. The record is from RNAcentral.
AUGGCUCAGGAUGAACGCUAGCGGCAGGCUUAACACAUGCAAGUCGAGGGGCAUCGUGGAGUAGCAAUACUCUGACGGCGACCGGCGAAAGGGUGAGUAACGCGUGAGCAACAUGCCCGAUAGUGGAGGAUAGUCGAUGGAAACGUCGCGUAAUACUCCGUAACACAGGGAACCGCAUGAUUUCCUGUUAAUAGAUUUAUCGCUAUCGGAUUGGCUCGCGUACCAUUAGCUAGUUGGCGGGGUAACGGCCCACCAAGGCGACGAUGGUUAGGGGUUCUGAGAGGAAGGUCCCCCACAUUGGAACUGAGACACGGUCCAGACUCCUACGGGAGGCAGCAGUGAGGAAUAUUGGACAAUGGCCGGAAGGCUGAUCCAGCCAUGCCGCGUGCGGGAAAGACGGCCCUAUGGGUUGUAAACCGCUUUUGUUGGGGAGCAAUAAGGUCCACGAGUGGAUCGAUGAGAGUACCCAGCGAAUAAGCAUCGGCUAACUCCGUGCCAGCAGCGGC